RNAcentral lists this ribosomal RNA (497 nucleotides) under uncultured bacterium. Its description in RNAcentral is "partial 16S ribosomal RNA". It matches the Rfam family "Bacterial small subunit ribosomal RNA", at positions 28 to 507 of the family's 1533-position model. The record is from RNAcentral.
GAUGAACGCUGGCGGCGUGCCUAAUACAUGCAAGUCGAGCGAACGGACGAGAAGCUUGCUUCUCUGAUGUUAGCGGCGGGCGGGUGAGUAACACGUGGAUAACCUACCUAUAAGACUGGGAUAACUUCGGGAAACCGGAGCUAAUACCGGAUAAUAUUUUGAACCGCAUGGUUCAAAAGUGAAAGACGGUCUUGCUGUCACUUAUAGAUGGAUCCGCGCUGCAUUAGCUAGUUGGUAAGGUAACGGCUUACCAAGGCAACGAUGCAUAGCCGACCUGAGAGGGUGAUCGGCCACACUGGAACUCAGACACGGUCCAGACUCCUACGGGAGGCAGCAGUAGGGAAUCUUCCGCAAUGGGCGAAAGCCUGACGGAGCAACGCCGCGUGAGUGAUGAAGGUCUUCGGAUCGUAAAACUCUGUUAUUAGGGAAGAACAUAUGUGUAAGUAACUGUGCACAUCUUGACGGUACCUAAUCAGAAAGCCACGGCUAACUACGUG